UACGUAGGUCCCGAGCGUUGUCCGGAUUUAUUGGGCGUAAAGCGAGCGCAGGUGGUUUAAUAAGUCUGAUGUAAAAGGCAGUGGCUCAACCAUUGUGUGCAUUGGAAACUGUUAGACUUGAGUGAAGUAAAGGAGAGUGGAAUUCCAUGUGUAGCGGUGAAAUGCGUAGAUAUAUGGAGGAACACCGGUGGCGAAAGCGGCUCUCUGGACUGUCACUGACACUGAGGCUCGAAAGCGUGGGUAGCAAACAGG
RNAcentral lists this ribosomal RNA (252 nucleotides) under uncultured microorganism. Its description in RNAcentral is "partial 16S ribosomal RNA". It matches the Rfam family "Bacterial small subunit ribosomal RNA", at positions 524 to 776 of the family's 1533-position model. The record is from RNAcentral.